UACUAAGGGUUUCAUCCGCCCCUGGCUGC
This 29-nucleotide non-coding RNA is filed under the name Homo sapiens (human). The record is from RNAcentral. Lineage: Eukaryota; Metazoa; Chordata; Mammalia; Primates; Hominidae.